Molecule: ribosomal RNA, 624 nt
Filed under: uncultured Chytridiomycetes
Lineage: Eukaryota; Fungi; Chytridiomycota; Chytridiomycetes
Description: partial 28S ribosomal RNA
Rfam family: Eukaryotic large subunit ribosomal RNA
Source: RNAcentral
CCCUAGUAACGGCGAGUGAAGCGGGAGGAGCUCAAAUUUGAAAUCUCACGGGUUUCCUGUGCGAAUUGUAGUUUAAAGAGUCGUUUUCUGAGGCCACUUGAGCACAAGUUCUUUGGAACAAGACAUCAUAGAGGGUGAGAAUCCCGUCUUUGGUUCAAGAUGCGCCUCUUUGUGAUACGAACUCAAAGAGUCGGUUUGUUUGGGAAUGCAGACCAAAAUGGGUGGUAAAUACCAUCUAAGGCUAAAUAUAGGCGAGAGACCGAUAGCGAACAAGUACCGUGAGGGAAAGAUGAAAAGAACUUUGAAAAGAGAGUUAAAUAGUACGUGAAAUUGUCAAAAGGGAAACGCUUGAAACCAGUAUUGCUGUUGGGGAAUCAGCUGUCCGUUUGGGCAGUGCACUUUUCCGAGAGCAGGUCAACAUCGAUUUGGUCCGAGGUACAAAGCGCCUGGAAUGUAGCCCUUUGGGUGUUAUAGCCGGGUGAAAUGCCUCGGAUUGGAUCGAGGAAUGCAGUACUUUUGGAGGUCCAGUCGCCUUUGGAAGCAUCGACCUAAACAGCGUGCUGAUUAGGUUGAAUGUCAAGAAGAUCGGUUGGGUGCCUUACACCAGUGCUUAGGAUGUUGACG